Molecule: ribosomal RNA, 452 nt
Filed under: uncultured cyanobacterium
Lineage: Bacteria; Bacillati; Cyanobacteriota
Description: bacterial SSU rRNA
Rfam family: Bacterial small subunit ribosomal RNA
Source: RNAcentral
GAUGAACGCUGGCGGUAUGCUUAACACAUGCAAGUCGAACGGUCACUUCGGUGAUAGUGGCGGACGGGUGAGUAACGCGUGAGAAUCUGUCUUCAGGACGGGGACAACAGUUAGAAAUGACUGCUAAUACCGAAUGUGCCGAAAGGUGAAAGAUUUAUUGCCUGAAAAAGAGCUCGCGUCAGAUUAGCUAGUAGGUGGUGUAAGAGACUACCUAGGCGACGAUCUGUAACUGGUCUGAGAGGACGAUCAGCCACACUGGAACUGAGACACGGUCCAGACUCCUACGGGAGGCAGCAGUGGGGGAAUUUUCCGCAAUGGGCGAAAGCCUGACGGAGCAAUACCGCGUGAGGGGCGAAGGCUUUUGGGUCGUAAACCUCUUUUAUUAGGGAAGAUUUCAGGACGGUACCUAAUGAAUAAGCAUCGGCUAACUCUGUGCCAGCAGCCGCGGUAAU